RNAcentral lists this small RNA (421 nucleotides) under Histoplasma capsulatum var. duboisii H88. RNAcentral's name for it is "Histoplasma capsulatum H88 hypothetical RNA". The record is from RNAcentral. Lineage: Eukaryota; Fungi; Ascomycota; Eurotiomycetes; Onygenales; Ajellomycetaceae.
CCAGCAUCUGAGCCUCAGCUUACCUCCAUCUCAUAUUCUCCGUCUGGAUACAAUAUACUGCUUUCCGCUUCUACAAGUGCUCUCAGCUAUGAAAUGCGACUUUGCGAACUCAAGUCCAUCAAGGUGGAUUGUUUCUAUGAUCCACUCAAAGUGCCUCCGAAUAACUGACCAGCUGCUAUGCGGAUUUCCUUGCCAAAUCCAGUGUAUCUAUCUCAUUUCUUCAGUAUUGCCAGUUGCGGACAAUGCUGAUUAAUGUCCUUCUUUUUCCUUUCUUUCACCUUUCUUCUGGGACAACGUUGCCGAAACCACUCUGCUGUCACCAUAUGCGGGGUGAGUGAAGGUAACUUGCAUAAAUCGGUACAAAAGAUCCAAAACUAUCUAAAUGCUUGAGUGGUAUUUUUCCAAUGAAAUCGUUAGGGGG